Molecule: ribosomal RNA, 252 nt
Filed under: uncultured bacterium
Lineage: Bacteria
Description: partial 16S ribosomal RNA
Rfam family: Bacterial small subunit ribosomal RNA
Source: RNAcentral
UACGUAGGGGGCAAGCGUUAUCCGGAUUUACUGGGUGUAAAGGGAGCGUAGACGGCAUAGCAAGUCUGAAGUGAAAGCCCAAGGCUCAACCAUGGACUGCUUUGGAAACUGUUAAGCUAGAGUGCUGGAGAGGUAAGCGGAAUUCCUAGUGUAGCGGUGAAAUGCGUAGAUAUUAGGAAGAACACCAGUGGCGAAGGCGGCUUACUGGACAGUAACUGACGUUGAGGCUCGAAAGCGUGGGGAGCAAACAGG